This is a long non-coding RNA of Medicago truncatula (barrel medic), 610 nucleotides long. RefSeq lists it as uncharacterized. The transcript has 3 exons. The record is from RefSeq and is a predicted model, not a curated record. NCBI's taxonomy places the organism in Eukaryota, Viridiplantae, Streptophyta, Magnoliopsida, Fabales, Fabaceae.
UUCAUCUUUUUUUUGUCAAAAAGAGCGGUAUGCACUGUCAGAUCUCCUGUUCGAUCCCCAACUAAUAAAUUUUUGUAUUACAUAAAAGCGUUGUGCAGUAACAACACUCUUUUUUCUCUUCUUUUUUAAGAAGAAACUGUCCAGACCCACAAAAGAAAAGAAUUUCGUUUCUCUCUUAUCCUUAAACCCUAAAUCAUAAUCCUCCUUCCACAACCAUGUACGACUCUCUCUCUCUCUCUGAAACUUAAUUGAUCAUUCAGCAACAUGAACGAUCUUCUCACUGAUUCAUUUGUUAGUGAGGCUAAUAAUGGAUAUUGAAAUGGGAUUGCAGGAUCAAAGAAGCAGUUCUGAUAUGGGAAUUGAAGCUUUUAAUAAAAAGGUGGAGGAGAGUGAAUGAAAUUUGGAAAUGAAUGAUGAUUUGCCUGCUUGUUUUAGAUAAAAAUGUUGAGAAGACCAGAAGAUAGAUGAAGACUACAUGAUACCAUAGAAGAUUUUGAUUUUAUGUUAACUAAUUAGUUGUAACUCUUAGAGAUAUCUAUGUUACCAUAUUAGAGGCUAUACAUUUUUGACUUUUAUGCUAUAUAUAAAUACAUUUUUAUGAUAUGGUUAA